GUGGCACGAGGAUUUUCAGUCCUCUGCUCUACCAACUGAGCUAUCCCGGC
This 50-nucleotide transfer RNA is filed under the name Abies magnifica (California red fir). RNAcentral describes it as "partial tRNA-Phe". The record is from RNAcentral. Lineage: Eukaryota; Viridiplantae; Streptophyta; Pinopsida; Pinales; Pinaceae. RNAcentral also lists the same sequence under 35 other names.